GACGGAGGAUGCAAGCGUUAUCCGGAAUUAUUGGGCGUAAAGCGUCCGCAGGUGGACAUACAAGUCUGCUGUCAAAGUGCAGAGCUUAACUCUGUAAAGGCGGUGGAAACUGUAGGUCUUGAGUAUGGUAGGGGUAGAGGGAAUUCCCGGUGUAGCGGUGAAAUGCGUAGAGAUCGGGAAGAACAUCGGUGGCGAAAGCGCUCUACUGGACGGUAUCUGACACUGAGGGACGAAAGCUAGGGGAGCGAAUGGG
Molecule: ribosomal RNA, 253 nt
Filed under: uncultured bacterium
Lineage: Bacteria
Description: partial 16S ribosomal RNA
Rfam family: Bacterial small subunit ribosomal RNA
Source: RNAcentral